Molecule: long non-coding RNA, 1316 nt
Organism: Cydia splendana
Lineage: Eukaryota; Metazoa; Arthropoda; Insecta; Lepidoptera; Tortricidae
Exons: 3
Source: RefSeq, a predicted model, not a curated record
AAUAGUAUGAGGUCUCUAGCGAAUUUUAUAUUGAUUGUCGCUGUCAUAUGGUACAGUCAGCAGCAGAUAUACCUGAGCGGGCAAGGUGUCCAAGAAAACAUAUACACUUCAAUCGUCACAAAAAUAAGGACAUCUAAGUUGUCAUUUUAGCGUAGGCUUUCAGUUCGUCACAUAUAUCUUAACUUCUGAGUUUUUCUUUAACACAUACACCCUUAUUUAAUCACAAUGACAAUAACGGUUAGAAAUUCAGUGGUAACUAAGCACUCAAAUUCAAGCUGCUGUCAUUAAUACCUACACGCACUGCCAAUCACGUACGUCACCAGCCAGGGUGCCACCAGUUGCUAAGCAGUUGUUAUUUCAAUGGUAACUAAGCAUCAACAUUUUAUCUGUUUAACUUUAAAAAGAAUACUGUAGCAACUACGAAUUGACACCUCCUUUCUUAAGAAGUAUUUUAUCGUCAAGUGUCAAACUUAGACAAUAAAUAAGCACUUAGGUUCUACGAGAAUGAUAGGUUUUUUAUUUUAACUAUCAUAGGCGGCCGUUCUUCCAAACCGUAGAGCAUAUUAUAUGUUAAUAUAUUUAUUAAGCCCGCUUAUUGUACUAAAAUAUACUAUAUAGUACUAAAAUACGAUGCUCCGAAUCGAUCAAAGAACAAAGGAGAAAAUAAUAGAAUUUAAACUUAACACGUUCACUGUCCCAAUCUGACAUGUAAACCUUAUGGCUUUGUAAUAGAGGCUAGCCGUGGCCCCACGUGAGGAGCACGGGCAGUAAAGCAAACGCCUUAGUAACAAGUCCACAACGUGCCUUGACAAUUGGCUCUAAAUUCGGCUUCAGUUAGCUUUCGCUAUGUGUCACUCAUUCGUUUUGAUGAUUCUAUUCAAUAAAAGAAAUAGUUUGCAGUAAGUUGACUGACAGGCCCCUGUCAAUGGUUGAAGGGCAAAACGUGAGAUAGAUGUAUGUGAUGACAAGACUGUACUGCUUUCGAUGAUUGUCAAACCGCUUUACCUAAAAUUAGUAUAGCUAUCAUUCAUUCAAUAUACGACCAUACAUGUAUGCUUUAAACGUCUAUUUUUCCAUAUUGUUCAGAUAUAUUUGACACGAUGACCGCUUAGAUACCAGUGGUUUUUCGACAGCUAAGGUAUCAAUGAUUUGUUGUAAGUGUAGAAAUUAAUGAAUAGCGACUGUUAAGAUAUUUGUGACAUGUUGAGCGCUCACAAGUAAAUGCUACCAUGACAGUCAACAACUUUUUGACAGUUUAAACGUUUACCUCUCUUUGAGCACCUGGAGUGUAUAGCGACUUCUGCUGCUGACUGUAG